AUUUCAUUCUGCUCAUCCCCAAGGCAAAGUUGGAUGUUUUUAAAGUGGAAAAAAAAAUGAUCGGAAAAGAAACGGGGAAGGUGGGAAGAGGUGGCCGGCGAGGGCGGUACAGGUAGGUGCCGUGAGACCGUCGUCCUUUGCGCAGGCAGGGCGGGGGAGCUCCCCUGAGUCGCGGUGGACGCCUUUCCCCAGGACCCCCGGAUGGAGGUCAGGGUCCUGGCUGUGGCUUUCGAGACGCAGAUGCCUUUGCUCUUGGAAAGAGGUCUGUUUUCUAAAGUGGAUGCCCCGUGCUGUCGCCAAGGAAUCGUUCCCCGGUGAGGUUUCCCUGGAAUGGGGGUGGGGGUGGGGGUGGGGUUGCGUCCUCCGUCGUGUGUUUGCUACUUGGCGGUGGGUUGGUGGGUUGGUGGUCCAGGGAGUAGGGGAGAAUGUGCUUCCAUCUGGAGAGGCAGAAUCCAAACACCCCCCAGGAGGGAAAUUAGGCAUGUGGAAGAUAACAUCCGUGUCAUGUUGGGAUGCCUGUGGCGUGGACUUUUCUGGACAGAAAGGAGAUGCCUGGGGAGACUGAGAGCCUGUCUAGUUCCCGGAGGUGGGGGGCGGAUUUUUGCUUUCGUUCCUGGUCACCGGGGCUGCGAUACCCCUUGGUUUCUCCUUAGCCUGCAGCAAAGUGGCCUCUAAAGCUGGAGGCCGAUGUGUCCUUAUAGCCGCCUGCGUUACCUCUUGAUCAUUCAAGGAAGGUAUUUUGAAGUUCAAGAUGGGUGUGGGCUUUCUACUGUUCUGAAAUCCAACUGCUAUCCCCUCGGACUUCGAUUUUUCCUAUAACAUGUGAACGAUGCACUGAAAUAAUUGACCGAUGGCGCUGCCCAUGUGUAUUUACUAUUUUCUUUGAGAGCAAGAAACUUAAAGCAUCCUAGUCAAUAGACUAUAAAUCUAGGUGGGGAACAUACGACUCAAUUCAAUUAAAAAUAUUUAAAGUGCACGGUCCUGGAGUUCCCGUUGUGGCGCAGUGGUUCCCAAAGUGGGAACUCCUGUACUUUUUUAACCAAAUAUUAAAUUUAAAUUUCUUUUAUUUCCUGUUUGUGCUUUUCAAAUUAGUAUUGUAUUUUGUUAGGGACAAGAUGAAGUGUAGUAAUAGUCCACUGGGUCAUUUGUCCUUUGUUCCUAUGAGCAAUGUAGCCAGAAAUAUUAGAAACAAAUGAAAAUCCCUCAUCGGGUCCUGUGUCGUGGUGCAGUGGUUAACGAAUCCGACUAGGAUCCAUGAGGUUUGGGGUUUGAUCCAUGAGGUUUGGGGUUCGAUCCCUGCCCUUGCUCAGUGGGUUAAGGACCCGGCGUUGCCACGAGCUGUGGUGUAGGUUGCAGAUGCGGCUCAGAUCCCGCGUUGCUGUGGCUCUGGCGUAGGCUGGCAGCUACAGCUCCGAUUCAACCCCUAGCCUGGGAACCUCCAUAUGCCACGGGAGCGGCCCAAGAAAUGGCAAAAAGACCAAAAAUAAAUAAAUAAAAUAAAGUGCACGGUCCUAUCCUGUCCCAUUACGGGAAAUAAAUAAACUUGAUUGGGGAAUUGGGUGGGUUGGAAGGGGAGAAGGAAACCACUUUAGUCUGUCACCCUUGCAGGCCAAGUUCUCAUCCACACAGGAGACAAAUUUGCAGACAUUAGAAAAGUUAGAAAAAGGCAAAAAUAGGAGUUUCUGUCGUGGCGCAGUGGUUAACGAAUCUGACUAGGAAUCAUGAGGUUUCGGGUUCGGUCCCUGGCCUCGAUCAGUGGGUUAAGGAUCCGGUGUUGCCAUGGGCUGUGGUGUAGGUUGCAGACACGGCUCGGAUCCCGAGUUGCUGUGGCUCUGGCGUAGGCCAACAGGCCUGGGAAAGUUUUUUGAUAUUUGUCCUGCAAAACUGUGGCAAAUUAAGCUGCCAUUUCUCUGGAUCCUAGUCCAAGAGAGAGCUCUGUAGCCAACCCCCCACCCCUGCCCCAUGCACAACAGCUUUGAAAAAUGCAGAAAAACUGUAACCAAGAAGUAAUCCUAGCAUCUUGCCCAAUAGGGCAAUACAAAGAUGGGGUUCUUAGCCAGAGGGCUUUCUGGAGUCCCCUUGUCACAGAGGAUAGAUUUCUCUUUGCUGUUUUUGGAUCAAGGUUGAUCGAGUCAUUGGCUUUGUUGGAAAUUUGAUCUUUUUCUGGAAUUUGUCAACAUUAGAAUAAGGGUUGUAACAUGAUUUCCUCUUUGUCUUGAUAUUCUGUCUUUUAUGGAGAUGGCAAGAGUUGAGUGGGUGGGGAAGAGGUGGCAUUCACCCCUAGGCUGCCCCUUUGGAGCCCUAGUUUGGCUUGUGGGCUCAGAGGCAGGGGCGCUGGGAGGCCAGGAUGUUACAAUGGAUGAAAUCAGUGCCUUGGAAUUUCUGAUUAAUAAGGAGGUAAAAGGAAGUUCCCUUCGUGGCUCAGCAGUUAACAAACCCGACUAGCAAGAAAUAGCAACAACAACAACAACAACAAAAGACAAAAGACAAAAAAACAAAAAACAAAAAACAAAAAAAAAAACAAACCUGACUAGGAUCCAUGAGGAUGUAGGUUCCAUUCCUGGCGUCACUCAGUGCAUUGCCCUGAGCUGUGGUGUAUGUUGCAGAUGUGUCUUGGAGCCUGCGUUGCUGUGGCUGUGGCAUAGGCCCGGAGCCAUAGCUUCAAUUCAGCACUAGCCUGGAAACUUCCAAAUGCCAUGGGUGAGACCCUAAAAUGCAAAAAAAAAAAANAAGGAGGUAAUAGAGUAUAUGUUAAUUUCACAAGAAAAAUGUCCACAGGGCACAUAAGUACAAUGGAUAUGUUUGCAUAGUUUGCAUAUGCUGUGCUUCUCAGAACUAUGAGAAUUCGGUUCCAUUUGCACUUACCUUUUAAACAACAGAUCGGUGUUUUUGCUGUGCUGUGGAAUGGGAGGAUAAAUGGGAGUGCUUGCACACACACACCUCCCCCCCAACACACCGACACUAGCAUAUUCAACACACACAUGCAUAUCUUUAGGUGCAAACACAUAAAGCUGAGACUUUUGCCUUUGGGAGGGACAAGGAGCAAAGACCCUUUUCAGAUCUGCCCUCUCACUAUUUUUCCUCAAGAUAACCAUAUGUGCUGGGUUUCACUCCCUCAUGGCUUCUCUGGCGCCUUGCCUGGCACUGUAUUUACUUCACAGCUUGGUCGCCGAAAUCCAGUUUCUUCACCUGGUUUGGAAUCCAUCGAUCCAUCCUGCCCCCUGGCUCCAGUGCCCCCCAUGGGCACAGUUAAUUACAUGGGUCCAGCAUUGAUCUCCCUCCAUGUUUUUCUCUCCACUCUGGGCUCCAUGGCCUUCCUUGACCUCUCUGUCCAUCUGCAAGGUUCUGGCCUGGGAAGAGGGACAGGUGGCCUGAUGGAAUUUGUGCCUCUUGGGUCCUGGGGUCCCUGGGUAUCAGGAGGCAGCAGUGGGAGUGAGCUGGGAGAGACUGAAACCAAGGGUGUGUCAAAUUCCAUAAGCCCCGCCUCUGCCACCUUUGCAAAGCCUGCUUGGGGCUGCUCAAAGCCCGCGCCCCGCCCCCCCCACCACUGCCAACAAGGACCAUUCUGUUACAUUUCUUUAAAGCUGGCCUUCAUGAAUUUCAGACACCAUGCUAAAUCUCUCUCUCUCAUAUUUUAUUUUCAAAGCAAUCCUAUGAUGUUGAUUUUAUCAUCGUUUUUUACAAACUUAGAAAUCAAGGCUUACAGAGAUGAGUUACUUUGCCCAAGGUCACCUGACCUUGAAGCUUGAAUUUGAAUCUGUACCUCUUUCACGGUGAUACCCAGGCUCUUACCUGCUUGCACACCACAUAUCUCAGAAGAGGAGAGGGUAACACAGAGAGGAAGCUGGACUUGUUCCUUUCUAGCUACUUAGAUCAGCCCCACGCUGGACCAGGGAGGUAGCCCUCUGGACAAGACCUUGGAGGAGCCAGCACAGGGAGGUGGAAAAGAACUGGGUGCCGGCUUAGAGGAAUUUGGGGGUGAAGCCUGACUCUGCCAUUAAUUUACUGUGUGACCCCUGGGCAAUCUAUUUAAUUCUCUGAGCCUGUUACAUCACAACGAAGGCAAAUGAAGUAUAGCACUAUUUCAUCAGCUUAAUAGGCGACCACAUCAGAGAACAGUAUCUGUGAAGGGACGUGCUAACAAUAUGUGCUUAUUAUCAUUACCUGAACAAUCCCCUUUCCUUCCAGCUCCCCACAUCUCUAAGCCGAGUUCUUGAUUUUUCUGAUGAGGUCUAGAAUUUUUUUGCCAAAAGCAAGGAACAGUUCUUGGCAGCUUUCUGAGUCUUCGCUUCCUUUCAAUACCAGGCCUAGUGGAGAGCAAAAUUAGCCUGCCAAUCACUCAGAAAAGUGUGGGCCCUAGGAAAUUAAAUUCCCCCUCUCUCCAGCUGUCUCCCCCCCCCACCAGUGCCAGGUACCAAAUGAAUGCGCAGGCCACGUGCUUCCCUUCCUGUCUCUUCUUCCUAUAUGGUAAUUUGACCAUUUUAGUAGGACGAACAAGCCUAGUGGAUGUGAGAGGUGGUUCAUUCUCCCCCAAAGCCAAAGGCUGGAGAGGGUCCUGAGUGGGAAGGUGGGCAUGGCUCUCUUACAUCAUUCUUUGGGAUUUGAUCAUUUUCUUUUUCCAGCAAUGUUUAAAAGCCACCUUUUUACACCUGUCUCCAUCCUUUCAUGGCAGGCUGAAGGAGGAGACAUGAACAAAGGGACUAGGGCCACCCCGCACAACCCUCCCCCCCAGGUGCUUGUGCAGAUGACCGGGUUCUCCUUGGGCUGGUGCCCUUCGAGCAUCAGUUUGGCACUGAGGGCGAGACCCACACAACUGCUCCCUGCAGUCCAUAUAUGGGCACCCCUCAUGCAGUCAGGACACUAUGCUUGAAAUGCUUCCUGUGUUGGCCAGUGGCAUCUUUGUGAUCCCCUCCAGUCCCUCGGGGAGAUUAAGAGAUCUCUGAAGGCUAACAACCAGGACCACUCCUCUCCUACCCAUCCUUUCCAAACUUCAGCUCUGGAGUGAGGUGUCCGAACCCUGACCUUCGCCUAACCAUUCGUAGUCAAAGGCUCUUUUGUACUAUGGGGCAAAAAAUAUUUUAGAUACAGAGUCACUGCCUCGAUGUGAAAGCCAGGCGUAGACCCCACCUGGACACAGAGCUUUCUCUGGAUGAUGUGGUCACUGUUAGAGGGGACAAGUUGGGUCCCCUCCAAAAUUCAUCUGUUCAGGCCCUCCCACCUGAGAAGGUGACUGUCUUUGGAGAGAACACCUUUAAAAGGGUAAUUAAGGUAAACUGAGGUCAUAGGGGUGGGCUGUCGUCCCGUCUGGCUGGAGUUCUUACAAAAAGAGGGGACUAGGACUCAGGCAGACACAGAGGGAACGCCGUGUUAAGACACAGGGGGAAACAUGGCCAUCUCUAAGCCAAGGAGAGAGGCUUUGGAAUGAAACCUGUCCCUAGACACUCGACUUUGGACUUCUCCCCUCCAGAACUAUGAGGUGAUAAAUUUCUGUUGUUUAAGCCACCCAGUCUAUGGUCCUCCAUUGUGGCCCUCCAGACAAACUAGUCACUGCAUGAAUUAAUCAUGCUUCAGCUCAAGGGUCUAGGAAAAACAGCUUCCCACAGGCCACAGAAAAAAGGCAGACUUUCAAGUCAAGUCUCUGCUCUACUAUUUGCCUGACCUUUUGUAAGGUACCAGUUGGAGCCUCACUUUUCUUAUCUGUAUAAUGGGUAUGAUGUAUGUCUCACUGCUGUGUUAAAAAUUCAUGGAGAUAAUGAAUAACAUCUGUUGUAACAUAGGGCUCCACAUCCAGUUUCCUAACCCUUAUUAUCUCUAUUAAUAGUGAUAGGACUGGAGUUCCCGUCGUGGCUCAGUGGUUAACGAAUCUGACUAGGAACCAUGAGGUUGCGGGUUCGAUCCCUGGCCUUGCUCAGUAGGUUAAGGAUCCAGCGUUGCCGUGAGCUGUGGUGUAGGUUGCAGACGAAGCUUGGAUCCUGCGUUGCUGUGUCUCUGGUGUAGGCUGGCGGCCAUGACUCUGAUUAGACCCCUAGCCUGGGAACCUCCAUAUGCCACAAGAGUGGCCCAAGAAAUGGAAAAAAGACAAAAAGAAAAAAAAAAAA
This 6098-nucleotide long non-coding RNA is filed under the name Sus scrofa (pig). RNAcentral's name for it is "lncRNA (ENSSSCG00015034323.1)". The record is from RNAcentral. Lineage: Eukaryota; Metazoa; Chordata; Mammalia; Artiodactyla; Suidae.